Molecule: small nuclear RNA, 107 nt
Organism: Cervus hanglu yarkandensis (Yarkand deer)
Lineage: Eukaryota; Metazoa; Chordata; Mammalia; Artiodactyla; Cervidae
Source: Ensembl
GUGCUUCCUUUGGUAAUAUAUAUGUGAAAACUGGAACAAUGCAGAGAAGAUUAGCAUGGCCCCUGCACAAAUAUGACACAGAAAUGCAUAUGAUCUUUCAUAUUUUU